Molecule: ribosomal RNA, 916 nt
Filed under: uncultured Sphingobacteriia bacterium
Lineage: Bacteria; Pseudomonadati; Bacteroidota; Sphingobacteriia
Description: bacterial SSU rRNA
Rfam family: Bacterial small subunit ribosomal RNA
Source: RNAcentral
AGCUUAUACAUGCAAGUCUGAGGGGCAGCAUGAAGUAGCAAUACUUUGAUGGCGACCGGCAAAUGGGUGCGGAACACGUACACAACCUUCCUUUUAGUGGGGAAUAGCCCAGAGAAAUUUGGAUUAAUACCCCGUAACAUAACCGAGUGGCAUCACUUGGUUAUUAUAGCUUCGGCGCUAAAUGAUGGGUGUGCGUAUGAUUAGAUAGUUGGCGAGGUAACGGCUCACCAAGUCUACGAUCAUUAGCUGAUGUGAGAGCAUGAUCAGCCACACGGGCACUGAGACACGGGCCCGACUCCUACGGGAGGCAGCAGUAAGGAAUAUUGGUCAAUGGACGCAAGUCUGAACCAGCUAUGCCGCGUGAAGGAUUAAGGUCCUCUGGAUUGUAAACUUCUUUUAUCUGGGACGAAAAAAGGUCUUUCUAGACCCCUUGACGGUACCAGAUGAAUAAGCACCGGCUAACUCCGUGCCAGCAGCCGCGGUAAUACGGAGGGUGCAAGCGUUAUCCGGAUUCACUGGGUUUAAAGGGUGCGUAGGCGGGUAGGUAAGUCAGUGGUGAAAUCCUGGAGCUCAACUCCAGAACUGCCAUUGAUACUAUCUAUCUUGAAUAUUGUGGAGGUAAGCGGAAUAUGUCAUGUAGCGGUGAAAUGCUUAGAUAUGACAUAGAACACCCAUUGCGAAGGCAGCUUACUACGCAUAUAUUGACGCUGAGGCACGAAAGCGUGGGGAUCAAACAGGAUUAGAUACCCUGGUAGUCCACGCCCUAAACGAUGGAUACUCGACAUACGCGAUACACUGUGUGUGUCUGAGCGAAAGCAUUAAGUAUCCCACCUGGGAAGUACGUUCGCAAGAAUGAAACUCAAAGGAAUAGGCGGGGGUCCGCACAAGCGGUGGAGUAUGUGGUUUAAUUCGAUGA